Molecule: ribosomal RNA, 466 nt
Filed under: uncultured bacterium
Lineage: Bacteria
Description: partial 16S ribosomal RNA
Rfam family: Bacterial small subunit ribosomal RNA
Source: RNAcentral
GAUGAACGCUGGCGGCGUGCUUAACACAUGCAAGUCGAACGGAAAGGCCCAAGCUUGCUUGGGUACUCGAGUGGCGAACGGGUGAGUAACACGUGGGUGAUCUGCCCUGCACUUCGGGAUAAGCCUGGGAAACUGGGUCUAAUACCGGAUAGGACCACAUUUUGGAUGGUGUGGUGGAAAGUUUUUCGGUGUGGGAUGAGCUCGCGGCCUAUCAGCUUGUUGGUGGGGUAAUGGCCUACCAAGGCGUCGACGGGUAGCCGGCCUGAGAGGGUGUACGGCCACAUUGGGACUGAGAUACGGCCCAGACGCCUACGGGAGGCAGCAGGGGGGAAUAUUGCACAAUGGGCGCAAGCCUGAUGCAGCGACGCCGCGUGGGGGAUGACGGCCUUCGGGUUGUAAACUCCUUUCGCUAGGGACGAAGCGUUAUGUGACGGUACCUGGAGAAGAAGCACCGGCUAACUACGUG